GAGGAUUGGCACAGAUGUUAGCUCAGGGCUAAUCUUCCUCAGCAAAAAAAAAAGAAAAAAGAAAGAUGGAAAUAGACCUCAAGGUAGAACACGAGAACUUUGUUUAACGUUCUCAUAGCUACUUUUCAGACCUUUUCAUACUGCUGUUAUCUGGAAUUAUUAUGAGGAAGGAGGCACUGUAAUCAUCUCAACUUGGGGCCUUUACACUGGGCCUCAGUUUCCCCAUCCGCAAAACAAAACAUUGUCCUAAUUGGUGCUCCCAGACUUGGCUGCUAUCAGAGCUGCCUGGGGAACUGGGGUGCCGAUUUGGGGCCACUCCCCAGAGAUUCGGAGGGAGGGAGGUGGGCCCAGGGAUCCCUCUGUGUCCUGACCAACGUUCCAUGGCGAUUCUUCUAGCAAGGGCAGAGCUGUAAAACCCGGGUUGAAGGACCAUCAUCACGGGGUACCAACCAUCCUGGUUUGCUCAGGACUGAGAGGUUUCCUGGAAUGUGGGACUUUCAGUGCUAAAACCAGGAAAGUUCCAGAUAAACCGAGACACGUUGGUGAUGUUAACUGCACCCGAUGACCGCCCGGGGUCUUCUGGCUGGAUCUUGCCGUGAAUCUGCGAUGACAAUCACACAAAAUGAACGCUUCUCCCUGGGGGCAGCUGGCUCUGCGAGGUCUCGUUUCUAAGGAAUCUGAGAUGAGACGAGAAGCUGUCCUAAUAUGUGGUGGGGUGAGGUCUCCUGACCAGCGCCCAGGCUGAAGGCCAUGGGGAAACGCUCAGCGUUGGACACCUUCAAUUCCAGCACACCACCGGCCAUCCGGACCCCGCGGCCGUCUCCGAGGAGCUCUCGGUAAUCACAAAGUGGGUCAGGAUCCACAGCUUCUCCUGCUCGUGACACAACAAACUUGCCACUUGCCAAGCGCCAGGAAGCGGCAGUGGUCGUGAGGAUGCUCUCGGAGAAGAGGAAGGUUGGAAUCCGAGAAGAGGAGGCAGAAAAUGAGGGGGCUGCACAGAACCCCUCACCGCUGCUCCUGUCUGAUUCCCCUCGGCCGGCCACGUGUGUGAC
RNAcentral lists this long non-coding RNA (1052 nucleotides) under Equus caballus (horse). RNAcentral describes it as "lncRNA (ENSECAG00000058269.1)". Lineage: Eukaryota; Metazoa; Chordata; Mammalia; Perissodactyla; Equidae. The record is from RNAcentral.